CGGCGUGUGGGGGAGGGUUCUUGAAAUGAAACAUCCAAUUAAAAUCUACCCGCUGGGAUCCGUUGGACCUUUCAAACCGUUUUUGCAAUACAACAUUCUCCAGAACUCUAAGGGAGGCAUGACAACGAUGUGAUUUUGGAGGAUGUCAUAAGUGCUGGUGGUGGCUGAUUCUUCAUUGAUUACCUACCUACCUACCUACCUACCUACCUACCUGUGAUGGCUGAUUGUCUGCAUUUAGAGGACAACUCAAGCGACACUGAGAACUGGGAAAGUAGUCUUCACAGACACUCAAGAGUCGUGGCUGAACGACAACAUGGAUAACAUACAGCUGGCUGGGUUUUCGGUGCAUCGGCAAGAUAGAACAGCUGUCUCCGGGGGAUAUACACAGCAGUGACGAUAACCGAGGAGAGUUCUCUUGGGAGAGAAUACGGUCGGCAUUUGAUUGUGAGGAAUUCUAGAGAGAUGUUUGUUCCUGUCGGUGCGAUGCACUGAAAAUCUUGUUUGCUCUACGGACUCUGACAGCAUGUCCCCAGCUAGCCAUGUCUCUGUGAAACGGAGUAUAUUACAAUCCUGAAUAUCUCUUUGGAAAACAACUCUUGCCCUAAUUUCGGCGACUUUGAUAACUAGGAACGGGACAUUAGCGAGCAAUAUACUCGGAAGCAGUGGGUGGUGUGUGCGCAUCCGAAGCUUCAGUAGAAGACCGCUCCGGCACCCUCUCCUCCGACGGUGUUGUUUUGGGUCGGCCUCUGGAAUCAGUUCAAAUGCCCUGGGAGGUGCAGACAAAGGAUCCGCUUUGGGGAAGUUGUAUUCCUGGUCGUAGUGCUGGUAAGUUGACGUCUCUCUAAUAUCCAAUAGUUCUUCCCUGCUGUAUGUAAUAACACUUAAGGUUUUCUGGGCUAACAAUGUAAGAAAUAAUACAUAAAAAAACGAAUUACUGCACCGUUUCCUAAGGACUUGAAGCGAAGCUGCCAUCUCUAUCAGCGCCAUCAGUAUUGGCCAUAUAUCACAAACCCCUGAGGUGCCUUAUUGCUAUUAUAAACUAGUUACCAACGUAAUUAGAGCCGUAAAAAUAAAUGUUUUGUCAUACCGGUGGUAUACGGUCUGAUAUACCAUGGCUGUCAGCCAAUCAGCAUUCAGGGCUUGACCCACCCAGUUUAUAAUAGUGUUUAUUUCAUA
Molecule: long non-coding RNA, 1176 nt
Filed under: Salmo salar (Atlantic salmon)
Lineage: Eukaryota; Metazoa; Chordata; Actinopteri; Salmoniformes; Salmonidae
Description: lncRNA (ENSSSAG00000116488.1)
Source: RNAcentral